This 254-nucleotide ribosomal RNA is filed under the name uncultured bacterium. RNAcentral describes it as "partial 16S ribosomal RNA". It matches the Rfam family "Bacterial small subunit ribosomal RNA", at positions 524 to 776 of the family's 1533-position model. The record is from RNAcentral.
UACGUAGGGAGCGAGCGUUGUCCGGAUUUAUUGGGCGUAAAGAGCGCGUAGGCGGCUUGGUAAGCCGGAUGUGAAACCCCCAAGCUCAACUUGGGGCGGCCAUUCGGAACUGCCAUGGCUAGAGUCUGGUAGGGGAACACGGAAUUCCUGGUGUAGCGGUGAAAUGCUUAGAUAUCAGGAGGAACACCAGUGGCGAAGGCGGUGUUCUGGGCCAGUACUGACGCUGAGGCGCGAAAGCGUGGGGAGCGAACAGG